GGAGACACCUGAGGAAGGGCAAGGCACCUGAAACAAGAGGGGGUUUAGACGGCACAAUAAAACAGGAAGUAUCAAAAUCAGACGUAUGUUUUGGGGAACUUCUGAUUGGUAUAUUUGGAAAUAUUCCCAACACCUGCAGUGAGGAAAACCCCUGUGUGGGCGCAGAGGGCUGAAGACUUGGCGACAGCAGGGUGGCAAUGAGACUAAGACAACGGCGAGGAAAAGGCAUCAGACUCUUCAUAUUUUAUCACAUUCGGCCUCCCCCUCCCCCCCCCCCCUUUUUUUUUCCGAAGCUGGUUUUCUGUAUUACAUUCGAAGGUGCUGGAGAGCUCGAAGCAGAAGAGGACAGGAUGCCACAUGGCAAUAUUUGUGUUGAGACAUUGCUGUGAUCUCGUCUGCAUUAGACCUGACAACUGCUAAUGGUCAUCUGCUCUCGCUGCUGUAACUGCUGCUCAGAUUCACACCAGAUUGUUUUGGUACUAACAGUAUUAUGAUUACCUCAAAAUGCCAGAAGAUUGUUUACUUGCCGAUGGGUGGGCCGACACUGUGGUAGUUUAACGGCAUAGAACAAAGAAUUGAUGCAAUCCAUUGGAAAGCCAGCCCCCCCCUCAACUGACUAUCACAGCGACGCUGCUGCUGCGGCUACCUUCAACAUGUGCCUCGUGCAUGUUUUUACACAAUGAAUGUGCUCUAUCUUGGUUAAUGCCCACACAUUUAUUAUGCUUAACCUGUUUCUUUCUGUUGUGGGAAUUCAAAUUGUGAUAAAUAGACCAACCGACCCAAUGCAGAUACACCAGCCAGUCAUUGACAACUCAAACUACGGCCACGCUGCAAGUCAGCAAUGCGAGUUUAGUCUCAGGAGUCAUCGAUCAACAUUGUGCUCUAGUGGAGGCAAGUGUAUACAAAUAAAAAAAAAGCCUGAUGUUUACAUUCAGUGUACAUGCAAAAUGAAAAAAAAUAAUAGCAAAUU
Long non-coding RNA from Gasterosteus aculeatus aculeatus (three-spined stickleback), 970 nucleotides. The record is from Ensembl. NCBI's taxonomy places the organism in Eukaryota, Metazoa, Chordata, Actinopteri, Perciformes, Gasterosteidae.